AUAUAUCAUAUCCCAUUUUCGAAAUGGAACAAAAGAAAAGCGAUCCUUUUCGUUUUUUCCAACAAAAAGUGAAAAAGCGGUUAGACUUGAAAAAACGGUCAUAAAUUUGACGCAUGAAUAGUUUCGGAUGCAGAAAGA
Non-coding RNA from Caenorhabditis elegans, 138 nucleotides. The record is from Ensembl. NCBI's taxonomy places the organism in Eukaryota, Metazoa, Nematoda, Chromadorea, Rhabditida, Rhabditidae.